RNAcentral lists this ribosomal RNA (238 nucleotides) under uncultured bacterium. RNAcentral describes it as "partial 16S ribosomal RNA". It matches the Rfam family "Bacterial small subunit ribosomal RNA", at positions 96 to 334 of the family's 1533-position model. The record is from RNAcentral.
UGGCGGACGGGUGAGUAACACGUGGGUAACCUGCCUCAUACAGGGGAGUAACAGUUAGAAAUGACUGCUAAUACCGCAUAAGACCACAGCACCGCAUGGUGCAGGGGUAAAAACUCCGGUGGUAUGAGAUGGACCCGCGUCUGAUUAGGUAGUUGGUGGGGUAACGGCCUACCAAGCCGACGAUCAGUAGCCGACCUGAGAGGGUGACCGGCCACAUUGGGACUGAGACACGGCCCAA